AGAUUGAACGCUGGCGGCAUGCCUUACACAUGCAAGUCGAACGGCAGCACGGGAGCAAUCCUGGUGGCGAGUGGCGAACGGGUGAGUAAUACAUCGGAACGUGCCCAAUCGUGGGGGAUAACGCAGCGAAAGCUGUGCUAAUACCGCAUAAGAUCUACGGAUGAAAGCAGGGGAUCGCAAGACCUUGCGCGAAUGGGAGCGGCCGAUGGCAGAUUAGGUAGUUGGUGAGGUAAAGGCUCACCAAGCCUUCGAUCUGUAGCUGGUCUGAGAGGACGACCAGCCACACGUGGACUGAGACACGGCCCAGACUCCGUACGGGAGGCAGCGAGGUGGGUAAUUUUGGACAAGUGGGCGAAAG
RNAcentral lists this ribosomal RNA (358 nucleotides) under uncultured soil bacterium. RNAcentral describes it as "bacterial SSU rRNA". It matches the Rfam family "Bacterial small subunit ribosomal RNA", at positions 26 to 381 of the family's 1533-position model. The record is from RNAcentral.